GACGAACGCUGGCGGCGUGCCUAAUACAUGCAAGUAGAACGCUGAAGGAGGAGCUUGCUUCUCUGGAUGAGUUGCGAACGGGUGAGUAACGCGUAGGUAACCUGCCUGGUAGCGGGGGAUAACUAUUGGAAACGAUAGCUAAUACCGCAUAACAGUAGAUAUUGCAUGAUAUCUGCUUGAAAGGUGCAAUUGCAUCACUACCAGAUGGACCUGCGUUGUAUUAGCUAGUUGGUGGGGUAACGGCUCACCAAGGCGACGAUACAUAGCCGACCUGAGAGGGUGAUCGGCCACACUGGGACUGAGACACGGCCCAGACUCCUACGGGAGGCAGCAGUAGGGAAUCUUCGGCAAUGGACGGAAGUCUGACCGAGCAACGCCGCGUGAGUGAAGAAGGUUUUCGGAUCGUAAAGCUCUGUUGUAAGAGAAGAACGAGUGUGGGAGUGGAAAGUUCACACUGUGACGGUAUCUUACCAGAAAGGGACGGCUAACUACGUGCCAGCAGCCGCGGUAAUACGUAGGUCCCGAGCGUUGUCCGGAUUUAUUGGGCGUAAAGCGAGCGCAGGCGGUUAGAUAAGUCUGAAGUUAAAGGCUGUGGCUUAACCAUAGUACGCUUUGGAAACUGUUUAACUUGAGUGCAAGAGGGGAGAGUGGAAUUCCAUGUGUAGCGGUGAAAUGCGUAGAUAUAUGGAGGAACACCGGUGGCGAAAGCGGCUCUCUGGCUUGUAACUGACGCUGAGGCUCGAAAGCGUGGGGAGCAAACAGG
Molecule: ribosomal RNA, 763 nt
Filed under: uncultured Streptococcus sp.
Lineage: Bacteria; Bacillati; Bacillota; Bacilli; Lactobacillales; Streptococcaceae
Description: bacterial SSU rRNA
Rfam family: Bacterial small subunit ribosomal RNA
Source: RNAcentral